GGCUGGUUGCAGGUGGUGCUGGUGGGUCAUGGAGUCUUUUCCUUUUCUCCUCCAGACUGUCUUGGUCUUCUUAGAGUUUUAUUACAAAGCGCCAUAGACUAGAUGGCUUAAACAACAGAAAUUUAUUUUCUUAUAAUUCCAGAGUCUGUGAAGUCCAAGAUCAAGGUGCUGGUUGAUGCCCUUCCUGCUUCUACCUGCAUAUUCGACUGUUUCUGGCAACACUGAACACAUCCACUGCUGAAGGAAUAGCACACUGCAGCCAGCAUCUGGCCCUGGAUUCCACGGAGGGUCCUCCCGGUUCAUGAAGGCCCUCAUUAUCAGAUGGCUAAAUAAUUCGAAUGAUGGAGGCCUUGUCAUGCUGGCUAAUGAUGGCUUCAGGAAGAGACAACAAUUUGGCCAAUUCACAGAAGUCAAAAUGUUCUUUUCCCUGGUGGGGGAGAGCGGCAUCUUGGGAUUUCUCCUUUCUCAACACUUGUAAAUCAGAAAAAUAAAAUGUGGAUCCAUGGCCUUGA
Orcinus orca (killer whale) is the source of this 512-nucleotide long non-coding RNA. RefSeq lists it as uncharacterized. The transcript has 3 exons. The record is from RefSeq and is a predicted model, not a curated record. NCBI's taxonomy places the organism in Eukaryota, Metazoa, Chordata, Mammalia, Artiodactyla, Delphinidae.